CAGCGAAAGGUGCUUGCACCUUUCAAGUGAGUGGCGAACGGGUGAGUAACACGUGGACAACCUGCCUCAAGGCUGGGGAUAACAUUUGGAAACAGAUGCUAAUACCGAAUAAAACUCAGUGUCGCAUGACACAAAGUUAAAAGGCGCUUUGGCGUCACCUAGAGAUGGAUCCGCGGUGCAUUAGUUAGUUGGUGGGGUAAAGGCCUACCAAGACAAUGAUGCAUAGCCGAGUUGAGAGACUGAUCGGCCACAUUGGGACUGAGACACGGCCCAAACUCCUACGGGAGGCUGCAGUAGGGAAUCUUCCACAAUGGGCGAAAGCCUGAUGGAGCAACGCCGCGUGUGUGAUGAAGGCUUUCGGGUCGUAAAGCACUGUUGUAUGGGAAGAACAGCUAGAAUAGGGAAUGAUUUUAGUUUGACGGUACCAUACCAGAAAGGGACGGCUAAAUACGUGCCAGCAGCCGCGGUAAUACGUAUGUCCCGAGCGUUAUCCGGAUUUAUUGGGCGUAAAGCGAGCGCAGACGGUUAAUUAAGUCUGAUGUGAAAGCCCGGAGCUCAACUCCGGAAUGGCAUUGGAAACUGGUUAACUUGAGUGCAGUAGAGGUAAGUGGAACUCCAUGUGUAGCGGUGGAAUGCGUAGAUAUAUGGAAGAACACCAGUGGCGAAGGCGGCUUACUGGACUGUAACUGACGUUGAGGCUCGAAAGUGUGGGUAGCAAACAGGAUUAGAUACCCUGGUAGUCCACACCGUAAACGA
RNAcentral lists this ribosomal RNA (756 nucleotides) under Leuconostoc sp. BY2. Its description in RNAcentral is "bacterial SSU rRNA". It matches the Rfam family "Bacterial small subunit ribosomal RNA", at positions 67 to 809 of the family's 1533-position model. The record is from RNAcentral. Lineage: Bacteria; Bacillati; Bacillota; Bacilli; Lactobacillales; Lactobacillaceae.